AAAAGAAAACAAAAAAUACA
Molecule: microRNA, 20 nt
Filed under: Corchorus capsularis
Lineage: Eukaryota; Viridiplantae; Streptophyta; Magnoliopsida; Malvales; Malvaceae
Description: sRNA CCACVL1_18074
Source: RNAcentral